AAAUCUUGGAGUUGUUGUUACGGCUUAUUUCGCUAGUUGAUGUACAAGUAUUACCAAACUUAAUGAAGUUGUCAGCACAACUGAUUGUCCAGUUACCUAAGGAUGGCCAGAAUGUUGUUCUCAAUGAGUUAUAUAAUCAGGUUGCUGAAUCUGAUGAUGUUACACGAAAGCCAACAUUAGUUUCAUGGGUGCAGUCAUUAUCUUACCUUUGUUCGGGAACAACAAGUACAACCUUUAGAGGCAAUAAAAGUGAAGAAAGUUCUGCUUUGCCUCUUCCAGAUCCAUCAAACGGUGACAGGAUAGAAGCACGGC
This 312-nucleotide unclassified non-coding RNA is filed under the name Hevea brasiliensis (rubber tree). Lineage: Eukaryota; Viridiplantae; Streptophyta; Magnoliopsida; Malpighiales; Euphorbiaceae. The record is from RNAcentral.